Molecule: long non-coding RNA, 1026 nt
Filed under: Macaca fascicularis (crab-eating macaque)
Lineage: Eukaryota; Metazoa; Chordata; Mammalia; Primates; Cercopithecidae
Description: lncRNA (ENSMFAG00000053428.1)
Source: RNAcentral
CACCUUCUCGGCCAGGGCGCUCAGGACCAGCAGCUUCUCCUCUACGCGGCCCGACCCCGGGGACGUCCCGGGCGCAGCCAGCCCGCCCACACGGCCCGCAGCGCCGCCCCGCCGCAUUGGACCAGCACUGGCAGCAGUCGCCCGGCCACUAGCGCCGCCGCGUCCUCGGCGGGCCCGGCCUCAUCCCCGUCCCCGCCCCCGCCUAGCGCCAGGGCGACGGCAGCCCUGCCACGCGUUCUAGCAGCGGCCCGUCCUCGCGUGGCCGCAAACAGGGCCCGACGGCCGCCAGCACCUCCACGGCAGCCUCGGCGCCAGGCGCGCGCCACCCGGCGAGCAGAUCGCGCAGCGCUUCCUCAGCCAGAGCGGCAGCCAGCUGCGGGCCCCCAGCCAGGCGGGCGCACGAGCGCAGGGCCGCGCCUGCCGCCCUCAGCACGCGCCGGCGGUGGCGGGGCGGCAGACCGGGUCCGGGCCGCCCGCUGGGCGCCCGCGCAGGCUCCGCAACAGUGGCACGAGGUACCCUGCGGCCACCUCGCGCGCCGCCUCCGGGAGCGCGCCUGCGCCACCGCCGUCGCGCGCCUCCUCGUCCUCGAGCCGCUGCAGAAGGAAGCGCAGCGUCUCCACGCGCUCCGCGGAUGCCUCCCCCUUGGCACAGCGCCCCAAGCAGGGCCCGGGGUCCCAGCUCUGCGAGAGCAGCGCUUCCGCGAGCACCCACUCCAUUUGCCGAGCGCCCGCGCCACCGGCCCGGGCUCCCAAAGGAAGGCGCCGGCGUGCGCGAUGCGUGCGCACAGGACCGGCCGGCCCCUGCGUGCGCGUGCGCCGACGGAGCCGGGUGCGCGGCCGCAGAGAGGGAGACGUAGCCUGGCUUGGUCUAGCUCAGCGUCUGUUGGGUUCCUGCCACCAACCCUGCCUAGAACCCCACCUGGUAUCUUAUUUUUAGGAGAAACGAGGCCCUCGUUAAAAGUUAAUGUAGUAUCUACACCACCUCCAUCGAUUCCUGAUUGGAGGUUGGUCUGCCUAGGACCCUAA